Molecule: long non-coding RNA, 235 nt
Filed under: Capsicum annuum
Lineage: Eukaryota; Viridiplantae; Streptophyta; Magnoliopsida; Solanales; Solanaceae
Description: long non-coding RNA (CANN_LNC005140)
Source: RNAcentral
CAUUUAAAGUACUGACGCAUUUGCGCUAUGGUGUCUUAUACCAUAGGUUCUGAGACAUGAGCUCCAGAGCAACAGUAGAUUCCAGAUAUCCAUAGACAGAGUUUGAAGUGAGUCCUCAUCUUUUGAGGAAAUGAUUAUUUCCCUAUUAUCUCAUUAAUCAGUUUAUUAGUUGGAGUUAGUUGGGGACAUGUCCCAUUAACUCCUUACUCAGACAGUUCAGUUAGUUAGAGGCUUU